RNAcentral lists this unclassified non-coding RNA (278 nucleotides) under Hevea brasiliensis (rubber tree). Lineage: Eukaryota; Viridiplantae; Streptophyta; Magnoliopsida; Malpighiales; Euphorbiaceae. The record is from RNAcentral.
UUUUAUUUCAUUUUAAAUUAAAUAAUUAUCGAAUACACCUUUGUAUAUACAUAUAAUCAUUGCUCCAUUUUUUAUUUAAAAUAAAACUGUGAAAAUCAAGAAAAAUAGGAUAAGAAGGUAUAAAAAGUAACAUAUGAAGAAUUUUGUCCUUUGAUGCAGCGAACAAAAACAACCAAACUAUUGCUUUGAAACUCACCGGUUUAUGGGCUCUGUUUUAGGCUUUUAGCCAAUGCCAGGUCAACUCUAGCCAAUAGUCAGAAGUGCGAGCAUCAGCAUCA